AUGGUAUCCCGAAGGUAGUGAUA
Molecule: non-coding RNA, 23 nt
Filed under: Arabidopsis thaliana (thale cress)
Lineage: Eukaryota; Viridiplantae; Streptophyta; Magnoliopsida; Brassicales; Brassicaceae
Source: RNAcentral